UUACCUUUGUGGCGCAUUGGUUCAAGAGAUUAUCUGUUUUUAGAAGAUAAUCUGGUGAUUAAAAGGGAAUCAGGUGAGAGUCCUGAACAGUCCCGCUGCUGUAAAUUCCAUAUUAUAUAAAUGUCGCAAACAGUCGUUCAGACCACUGGAGAAAUGUUUGUUUCCGGGAAGGUAGUUUGCGACUAGGAAUAAGUCAGAAGACCUGCCAUGCAUAUUUCUUCACA
Molecule: non-coding RNA, 224 nt
Filed under: Phocaeicola coprocola
Lineage: Bacteria; Pseudomonadati; Bacteroidota; Bacteroidia; Bacteroidales; Bacteroidaceae
Source: RNAcentral